UAAUACGUAGGGUCCAAGCGUUAUCCGGAAUUACUGGGCGUAAAGCGUACGUAGGCGGCGCGUUAAGUGCAACGCGAAAUCUUGCGGCUCAACCGUAUAGACUGUGUUGCAUACUGGCGUGCUUGAGGAUGGCAGAGGCAAGUGGAAUUUGUAGUGUAGCAGUGAAAUGCGUAGAUAUUACAAGGAACACCAAUGGCGAAGGCAGCUUGCUGGGCCAUUUCUGACGCUGAGGUACGAAAGCGUGGGGAGCGAACAGGAUUAGAUACCCUGGUAGUCCACGCCGUAAACGAUGCACACUAUUAGUAUGGGGUAUCGACCCCCUGUGCUGAGAAGCUAACGCGAUAAGUGUGCCGCCUGGGGAGUACGAGCGCAAGCUUA
This 378-nucleotide ribosomal RNA is filed under the name uncultured bacterium. RNAcentral describes it as "bacterial SSU rRNA". It matches the Rfam family "Bacterial small subunit ribosomal RNA", at positions 521 to 896 of the family's 1533-position model. The record is from RNAcentral.